This 200-nucleotide ribosomal RNA is filed under the name uncultured bacterium. RNAcentral describes it as "partial 16S ribosomal RNA". It matches the Rfam family "Bacterial small subunit ribosomal RNA", at positions 328 to 539 of the family's 1533-position model. The record is from RNAcentral.
ACGCUCGACACCUACGGGAGACAGCGUGGGGAAUAUUGCACAAUGGGGGAAACCCUGAUGCAGCAACGCCGCGUGAAGGAAGAAGGUUUUCGGAUCGUAAACUUCUAUCAAUAGGGAAGAAAGAAAUGACGGUACCUAAAUAAGAAGCCCCGGCUAACUACGUGCCUGCAGCCGCGGUAAUCUGAGCGGGCUGGCAAGGC